GUUCUAAGACUAUUUCGAGUAGGUACUUGUCUUUCUUUCUUUUUCGCGACAGAAGCAACACAAAUCAGAUGCGCUUUUUGACCGAUUGGAAGCCGUACGGAAUAUCAUUAUAAUCGUUAUUUGAUUAUGAUU
Caenorhabditis elegans is the source of this 132-nucleotide non-coding RNA. The record is from Ensembl. Lineage: Eukaryota; Metazoa; Nematoda; Chromadorea; Rhabditida; Rhabditidae.